Long non-coding RNA from Cyclopterus lumpus (lumpfish), 657 nucleotides. RefSeq lists it as uncharacterized. The record is from RefSeq and is a predicted model, not a curated record. NCBI's taxonomy places the organism in Eukaryota, Metazoa, Chordata, Actinopteri, Perciformes, Cyclopteridae. The transcript has 2 exons.
AUACACAGAAGUCGUGGAGAUAAGGCUGCGGGUGAAUGAUUGAUUGUAGUGAAGACUUUGGCAUCAAAAACCAGGAGUUGUGACCGGCAGCUCAUGUGCAGGAGGUUUGAAUGCAAAGCUUUAUUAACAACUAUAGAGGAUCUUGGGUUUUACUUCCAGCCGCUGGCAUAGAAUCCUCCCUCUACGCAUCGGUGGGGGUGGGGGGGGCGUGGCUUCUGUCAUAGUUGAACCGUGGAGGAGGAGCCAACUUGUGUUCAAGAUGCCGUCAGCGUAAAUGUAUCCAUUUACCAGGAACCGACACCUUCUUCAUCAUCUGCCCAUCGCUUCUCUUAGUCUUCAGCAUCGUCAACUCUCUCGGCGGAGGUGUUCGUGUGUUCACGGAGGCUUUCACCAGCAACAUGGCCUCGGCAGAGAUGAUGAGCUCCUUGUUAAAGUCACGGAAAACUCUCGUUCCCACAGACGGAGGAACCGAAGGGGACAUUUGAGGCGUGAAGCACAACGACCGAAUGUUCAUUGAAAGCAUCCAGAUGAACUGACGUGACGAGCACUGUUUUUUAAGGUUAUGAAAGAGAAUGGGAACCGUUAUGUGAAUGUAAUGUUACUAAAAGAAAUAUGGAGAUGGAUUCGAAUAAAAAAUCUGAAUGGGUGGAAACAGAA